GUGUAAAUGUACUCUUAGAACCCUGUUCUACUAACAUAGCUAAGCCUAUUACUGGGCUGUAUUUCACACAAGAUUUCCAAAGAUCCCAAGCCCCCUAUUUUAGUUUGCAGACCCAGCUAUAUCUCUAAGAAUUUUUUUUUUUACAAAUCCUUUAUAACUGGUGCAAUUGUAAACAGAUCUCUGUCUUAGCAGCUUGUCUUGAUUGCAUAAGUUGCAUUUUGUCCCCCUUGUUUGUAGCACUUAUAGAUGCCUGUAUCAAUUGCAACUUUGAUUGAUACUGGUACUGGAGUUUGUUCUAGUUAUGUGUUCAUUACUAUUCAUUGAUUACAAUCAGGCAGAGUUCAUAUACGCACCAGAAUCUUUAUCAAUACAGAAAGCCUCAUGGACAGCCCGCACCUCAGUAGCCGUGAUUAUAAAGUCAAAGCAAGAUGACUUUGAACUGGGAGGAUGUGGACUUUGAUUCUUUGACACUUGCUAUUAUCCACCAGCUCUCUCUUCACUCCCCCUCCGCAGAGCAGAUGCCACUCAUGUUAUGUUGGAGAAAGGGAACUCCCACAUCCAUUAAGAGAAUUAUGUGGUGGGUGUGAAUAAUGAGGAGUGUGAGCAAAGCAGAAAAGAAGUGUGCGGCAGCAGCAGAACCAUUGGAGGAACAGUGCAGAACGUGAUGCCGCAGCCCUUGGAGCUGUCCACAAAGCAGUACUGAAACAGUGACACACACAAUCUCUCGGACAGAUUCUCUACCUUCCCCUGGUUCGGUACAAAAAUGGUGUGCUAAAAAGAUAAAUUGUAAGAACAACAAAUGGGAUUUCUGAGCUGUUUCUUGCCAGGGCAGCAGAAUAAGCUGGGCAUUCAGAUGCAGAAAUCGGAUUGCAGUCCUAGCUCUUAAUAGAGUUGAUUAGCAGCCGCUUCGUUAUCCCAAUGUAUCUUCAGUAGGGCAGGCACAGGAUUACCCAGGAUAACUCCUUCCAUAAUACCAUCCAAUUGGUUACAUGAGGAUUUAACAGAUGGGCUCCUCAGUGUGUGUGCACACAUCAGAUCCCCAACAUCCAGAUUACCAGAGGUCUGGGAUUUGACUAGCACAGACAGCUGGCACACAGACAUAAGGAGCACGGGCAUUACCUGCUCACAGGGCUGCAGCAACAACACAAGGCACAUGCUGGUUAAUAGCACAGGAAAAGGGAUGUGAUGGGUAGUGACCCAGGGGGGACAUGCACAGACAAGAUAAUCAGGGAGAUACUGGGACAGUAACACUUCAGUACAAAUGAGGCACCCUCUUACCCUCUUGAUCGUACCUCAUAAUAUUAAUUCACAUGGAGACACACUCUCUCUCUGUUAAGCCUACUCCUAACCCAUACAACAGUGCUAAUGCAUAUGUCUGGAACCUUGUAUAUGAACUUUCUACUGUUCUAAAAAUACAAUUCCCAGCCGAGGGCAGGCCGCUGUAGUGUAGGAGUGCUUGGAACAGCUGAGGCCUUUAGAUGUUCCUGUCAAUGACAACCUUCACCCUAUAGUUGGUUUACCGUUACAUCAAGAAAAGCAAAACACCAACAUAUAAUUUAAGUCAUUUAUUUUAUCAGAGUAAUACCAAUGCUAUAUAGCAGAAAUGUGUUCCAGCAGAGAUUUUCAUUGUCCCGAGAAGGAGCUUUUUUUUUUAUUUAAAGCUUGUUUUGCAAUCCCCAAUAUAAGAAUAUACUACCCCCACUUAAAACAGGAACUUAUGUAAGAGAUUCUUGAUCAGUUCUUGAAAUAAAUGCCAUCAUUCUGUUUCUAAGGAAGCUUCUAUUGCAGCGUGUACUUAUUUCUCAACAGUCUUCUUUCAAAUAACUCUAAUUCUACACUUUCCCAGAUACAAUAAGCAAGUGCAUGGCCGGCUAAAUUGGAUGAAGCAGCGCUGCACUUAACCUUGCAACUGUCAAAUGGACACCGACAAAGAAUAUUAAGUGGAUUAUAAUGAUCGGGUGCUGUCCAGGUAACAUCUCUAAGGAACAAAUAUCCCAAAAACAGUAGAUUUGAUUAAUUUCUUAAUUUUAGGAUUUCACUAAAAACUCUAGAGAAUAUUUUUUCUGGACACUAAGGGGCCUAUUUAUCAACAGUGUAAUUUUUGAGGUUUUUCAAACCAAAUCUAAACGCUAAAAUUACAUGUCAUGAGAUUUUUUUCUGCAUAAAAAAAGUAUGAAGGGAAAAACGAUUCUGAAAUGUGCGCUAAAAAAUACGAAUACCUCAAAAAAAACCUAAAUGUUAUAGUUUUUGGAACAAUUCCUACUAGAAAAAAAAUACGAAAAGUCAGAAUUGAUUUAGAGCGGUUCAAUAGGAUCAGCGCAGCUCCCAUUGACUCCUAUAGGACCUCGACAAAUUUUACCUAGCGAGGUAUUAGAGGUUUUAUGGUUUUUGUUCAGCAAACAGACUAAUAACACAUGAAUGUGUUACGUUAUAUGUGGUCAGACAGUCUGUUGUUAAGCAGGUGCUUUUGUGUGUUUUUUUGGGCUUCAAUGUCCAACAAACAAUCAGAACAGAUAUUAGAGUUCCAUGGUGGUUGGUGAUUUGGCUGAUGUUCAUGUGCACAUAUUAUUGUCUUGGAAGAUGAAUUUAGCUUAUCGCUUAAUCAGAAAUGGGCAGCCAAACAACUGCUCUUA
Molecule: long non-coding RNA, 2633 nt
Organism: Xenopus laevis (African clawed frog)
Lineage: Eukaryota; Metazoa; Chordata; Amphibia; Anura; Pipidae
Exons: 2
Source: RefSeq, a predicted model, not a curated record